Molecule: ribosomal RNA, 497 nt
Filed under: uncultured bacterium
Lineage: Bacteria
Description: partial 16S ribosomal RNA
Rfam family: Bacterial small subunit ribosomal RNA
Source: RNAcentral
GAUGAACGCUGGCGGCGUGCCUAAUACAUGCAAGUCGAGCGAACAGACGAGGAGCUUGCUCCUCUGACGUUAGCGGCGGACGGGUGAGUAACACGUGGAUAACCUACCUAUAAGACUGGGAUAACUUCGGGAAACCGGAGCUAAUACCGGAUAAUAUAUUGAACCGCAUGGUUCAAUAGUGAAAGACGGUUUUGCUGUCACUUAUAGAUGGAUCCGCGCCGCAUUAGCUAGUUGGUAAGGUAACGGCUUACCAAGGCAACGAUGCGUAGCCGACCUGAGAGGGGGAUCGGCCGCACUGGAACUGAGACACGGUCCAGGCUCCUACGGGAGGCAGCAGUAGGGAAUCUUCCGCAAUGGGGGAAAGCUUGACGGAGCAACGCCGCGGGAGUGAUGAAGGUCUUCGGAUCGUAAAACUCUGUUAUUAGGGAAGAACAAAUGUGUAAGUAACUAUGCACGUCUUGACGGUACCUAAUCAGAAAGCCACGGCUAACUACGUG